RNAcentral lists this ribosomal RNA (628 nucleotides) under Cystofilobasidium macerans. RNAcentral's name for it is "eukaryotic LSU rRNA". The stretch from base 179 to 332 matches the Rfam family "5.8S ribosomal RNA". The record is from RNAcentral. Lineage: Eukaryota; Fungi; Basidiomycota; Tremellomycetes; Cystofilobasidiales; Cystofilobasidiaceae.
UCCGUAGGUGAACCUGCGGAAGGAUCACUAAAGUAAACGCCCUCCGGGGCUCUCUUUAAUUCACACACCCCUGUGCACUUUGGCCACCUGCCGCGCUUUACUGCGUUAGUAGGUGUGUCUUUUUAACUAUACACUAUAUACACAAGUCAUUGAAUGUAAAAUCGUUAUAAACUAAUAUAACUUUCAACAACGGAUCUCUUGGUUCUCGCAUCGAUGAAGAACGCAGCGAAUUGCGAUAAGUAAUGUGAAUUGCAGAAUUCAGUGAAUCAUCGAAUCUUUGAACGCAUCUUGCGCUCUUUGGUAUUCCGAAGAGCAUGCCUGUUUGAGUGUCAUGAAACUCUCACCUCCAGCCUUCUUUAAUUAGAGGUGUUGGGGCGUGGACGUGAGUGCUGCUGGUGCCCUAGUUGCAUCGGCUCACUUGAAAUACAUUAGCUGAAUCCUCUAGAGGUGGUUCUACUCGACGUGAUAAGAUCUCCGUCGAGGACAGUGCAACUUGUUGUGCUGGCCGCCGCUAGCUGUUGAUACGCUUCUAAUUAGCGCAGACUUCGAGUGCUGGCAACUUUUGACAACUUGGCCUCAAAUCAGGUAGGACUUCCCACUGAACUUAAGCAUAUCAAUAAGCGGAGGA